Molecule: ribosomal RNA, 1113 nt
Filed under: Triticum aestivum (bread wheat)
Lineage: Eukaryota; Viridiplantae; Streptophyta; Magnoliopsida; Poales; Poaceae
Description: partial small subunit ribosomal RNA
Source: RNAcentral
AUGUCAAUCUAUCCGUCUGCCCUCCUCGAUUUCUUUUCCCGGAACUUCUUAACUAAGUCAAUGCCAGCGGCCACUGCACCCAAGCCCUCAUCAUACGAUGUCAUCCACGCCGGCGAGCACACGUUAAAGGUUGCGGGGCACUCCAUGCUCAAAGAAGGCGAUACCAUGCUCACGUCCGGCCCCUUCAGCGUCGGCGGUCACGACUGGGCUAUCGCCUACUUUCCGAACGGCGACUCCAGGAUCGACGACGGGCAGUUCACGUCUGUUUUUCUCAAGUUGCUGAGUGCCAGCGAGGACGAGGUCACGGCGACCUACACCUUCAGUCUCCAGGAUCCUGCAUCGCCUGUGACCGGAGAGAAGAACAAACGCGGACCCGCCACCGCGAAGUUCUCGUCCAACCAGCUAGGUUGGGGUAUUCCUAAGUUUGUUAGUAAAGCCGAUCUGGCCGCGUCCGGGUGCCUCAAGGAUGAUUGCCUGGUGAUCAAGUGCACCGUCAAGAUUGUUACCACCAAACUCAUGAAAGACAAUGAAGACGAUGGCAAUGACGACAACAGCGUUGUCGUGCCACCCUCCGAUCUCCACAGCCUUCUGGACAGCGAGCUCAAGCCGGACAUGACUGUUAAGAUCGGUUGGUUCAAGAGAUUCAAGGUGCAUGGGCGCGUGCUCGCUGCACAGUCUCCGGUCUUUCGCGCCCUGGUGGAGAGCAAGAGAAACUACAUCCGCGUUGACGAUAUGGAUGUCAACGUCUUCGAGGUCCUGCUGCACUACGUGUACAAUGAGACUCUGCCCGACUUCAUGGAGGAGACCACGGAACAUGCUUUAAACAUGGCGCGCCAUUUGCUUGUCGCCGCUGAUCGGUACGAGAUAGGGAGGCUAAAACUCAUAUGCGAGAGCAAGCUUAGCAAGGCUAUAGAUGUCAACACAGUGGGCUUAACUUUGGAUCUUGCAGAGAAACAUAGUUGCCAGCAGCUCAAGGCUUGCUGUCUCAAGUACAUGCUAAGAGACGGUGAUAGACUACGAACCAUUGUGAAAACAGAGGGGUUCGAACAGCUUAAGCAAAACCGUCCACAUGUGGUGUACGAUAUUCUCAGUAAAGUUAUUGACAAGCUGUAA